GACGAACGCUGGCGGCGUGCCUAACACAUGCAAGUCGAACGGAAAGGCCCUGCUUGUGUGGGGUGCUCGAGUGGCGAACGGGUGUGUAACCCGUGAGUCACCUUCCCUGGGCUUUGGGAUGACUUCAGGAAACCGGGGCUAAUACCUGAUAGGAGCUCCUGCUGCAGGGUGGGGUUUGGAAAGUUUCGUCUGUUGGGGAUCGACUCGCGGCUUAUCAGCUUGUUGGUUGGGUAGUGGCCUACCAAGGCUUUGACGGGUAGCCGGCCUGAGAGGGUGACCGGCGACAUUGGGACUGCGAUACGGCCCAGACUCCAACGGGAGGCAGCAGUGGGGAAUAUUGCACAAUGGGCCGAAGCCUGAUGCAGCAACGCCGCGUGCGGGAAGACGGCCUUCGGGUUGUAAAGCGCUUUCGCCUGUGACGAAGCGUGAGUGACGGUAAUGGGUAAAGAAGCACCGGCUAACUACGUG
RNAcentral lists this ribosomal RNA (468 nucleotides) under uncultured bacterium. Its description in RNAcentral is "partial 16S ribosomal RNA". It matches the Rfam family "Bacterial small subunit ribosomal RNA", at positions 28 to 507 of the family's 1533-position model. The record is from RNAcentral.